This 175-nucleotide ribosomal RNA is filed under the name uncultured bacterium. RNAcentral's name for it is "partial 16S ribosomal RNA". It matches the Rfam family "Bacterial small subunit ribosomal RNA", at positions 1326 to 1500 of the family's 1533-position model. The record is from RNAcentral.
CUGGAAUCGCUAGUAAUCGUGAAUCAGAAUGUCACGGUGAAUACGUUCCCGGGUCUUGUACACACCGCCCGUCACACCAUGGGAGUCAGCAACGCCCGAAGUCAGUGACCUAACCGAGAGGGAGGAGCUGCCGAAGGCGGGGCCGGUAACUGGGGUGAAGUCGUAACAAGGUACC